This 440-nucleotide ribosomal RNA is filed under the name uncultured bacterium. RNAcentral's name for it is "partial 16S ribosomal RNA". It matches the Rfam family "Bacterial small subunit ribosomal RNA", at positions 338 to 795 of the family's 1533-position model. The record is from RNAcentral.
CCUACGGGAGGCAGCAGUCGGGAAUAUUGCUCAAUGGGGGAAACUCUGACGCAGCAACGCCGCGUGGAGGAUGAAGGUUUUAGGAUUGUAAACUCCUUUUGUUAGAGAAGAUUAUGACGGUAUCUAACGAAUAAGCACCGGCUAACUCCGUUCCAGCAGCCGCGGUAAUAAGGAGGGUGCAAGCGUUACUCGGAAUCACUGGGCGUAAAGAGUGCGUAGGCGGGAUAAUAAGUCAGAUGUGAAAGCCUGUAGCUUAACUAAAGAACUGCAUUUGAAACUGUGAAUCUGGAGUGUUGGAGAGGUAGGUGGAAUUCUUGGUGUAGGGGUAAAAUGCGUAGAGAUUAGGAGGAAUACUAGUUGCGAAGGCGACCUGCUGGAACAUUACUGACGUUGAUGCACGAAAGCGUGGGGAGCAAACAGGAUUAGAUACCCUAGUAGUC